RNAcentral lists this ribosomal RNA (497 nucleotides) under uncultured bacterium. Its description in RNAcentral is "partial 16S ribosomal RNA". It matches the Rfam family "Bacterial small subunit ribosomal RNA", at positions 28 to 507 of the family's 1533-position model. The record is from RNAcentral.
GAUGAACGCUGGCGGCGUGCCUAAUACAUGCAAGUCGAGCGAACGGACGAGAAGCUUGCUUCUCUGAUGUUAGCGGCGGACGGGUGAGUAACACGUGGAUAACCUACCUAUAAGACUGGGAUAACUUCGGGAAACCGGAGCUAAUACCGGAUAAUAUUUUGAACCGCAUGGUUCAAAAGUGAAAGACGGUCUUGCUGUCACUUAUAGAUGGAUCCGCGCUGCAUUAGCUAGUUGGUAAGGUAACGGCUUACCAAGGCAACGAUGCAUAGCCGACCUGAGGGGGUGAUCGGCCACACUGGAACUGAGACACGGUCCAGACUCCUACGGGAGGCAGCAGUAGGGAAUCUUCCGCAAUGGGCGAAAGCCUGACGAAGCAACGCCGCGUGAGUGAUGAAGGUCUUCGGAUCGUAAAACUCUGUUAUUAGGGAAGAACAUAUGUGUAAGUAACUGUGCACAUCUUGACGGUACCUAAUCAGAAAGCCACGGCUAACUACGUG